CUUCUCUGAGCAUCCAGCCUCUAGGAGCUGUGCCUCCUGGCCUAUUCCUGUUCGUGGAUUGUCUGGAUGCAUCCUUGAGACU
Molecule: microRNA precursor, 82 nt
Organism: Gorilla gorilla gorilla (western lowland gorilla)
Lineage: Eukaryota; Metazoa; Chordata; Mammalia; Primates; Hominidae
Source: Ensembl